GGCGAGAUGGCCGAGUGGUUAAGGCGCUGGUUUUAGGUCCUACCAAAACACCAGUUGGAAACAGCGUGGGUUCAAAUCCCACUCUCGUCA
Non-coding RNA from Wilcoxina mikolae CBS 423.85, 90 nucleotides. Lineage: Eukaryota; Fungi; Ascomycota; Pezizomycetes; Pezizales; Pyronemataceae. The record is from the annotation of a GenBank genome assembly.